UACUCCUACGGGUGGCUGCAGUGGGGAAUCUUAGACAAUGGGGGAAACCCUGAUCUAGCCAUGCCGCGUGAUCGAUGAAGGCCUUAGGGUUGUAAAGAUCUUUCAGAUGGGAAGAUAAUGACGGUACCAUCAGAAGAAGCCCCGGCUAACUCCGUGCCAGCAGCCGCGGUAAUACGGAGGGGGCUAGCGUUAUUCGGAAUUACUGGGCGUAAAGCGCACGUAGGCGGAUUAGAAAGUCAGAGGUGAAAUCCCAGGGCUCAACCUUGGAACUGCCUUUGAAACUCCUGGUCUUGAGGUCGAGAGAGGUGAGUGGAAUUCCGAGUGUAGAGGUGAAAUUCGUAGAUAUUCGGAGGAACACCAGUGGCGAAGGCGGCUCACUGGCUCGAUACUGACGCUGAGGUGCGAAAGCGUGGGGAGCAAACAGGAUUAGAUACCCCUGUAGUCCCGG
This 448-nucleotide ribosomal RNA is filed under the name Enterococcus faecium. RNAcentral describes it as "bacterial SSU rRNA". It matches the Rfam family "Bacterial small subunit ribosomal RNA", at positions 334 to 799 of the family's 1533-position model. Lineage: Bacteria; Bacillati; Bacillota; Bacilli; Lactobacillales; Enterococcaceae. The record is from RNAcentral.